AGUGAACGCUGGCGGUAGGCCUAACACAUGCAAGUCGAACGGCAGCACAGGAGAGCUUGCUCUCUGGGUGGCGAGUGGCGGACGGGUGAGGAAUACAUCGGAAUCUACUUUUUCGUGGGGGAUAACGUAGGGAAACUUACGCUAAUACCGCAUACGACCUACGGGUGAAAGCAGGGGAUCUUCGGACCUUGCGCGAUUGAAUGAGCCGAUGUCGGAUUAGCUAGUUGGCGGGGUAAAGGCCCACCAAGGCGACGAUCCGUAGCUGGUCUGAGAGGAUGAUCAGCCACACUGGAACUGAGACACGGUCCAGACUCCUACGGGAGGAAGCAGUGGGGAAUAUUGUACAAUGGGCGCAAGCCUGAUCCAGCCAUACCGCGUGGGUGAAGAAGGCCUUCGGGUUGUAAGGCCCUUUUGUUGGGAAAGAAAUCCAGCUGGUUAAUACCCGGUUGGGAUGACGGUACCCAAAGAAUAAGCACCGGCUAACUUCGUGCCAGCAGCAGCCGCCG
This 506-nucleotide ribosomal RNA is filed under the name uncultured bacterium. RNAcentral describes it as "partial 16S ribosomal RNA". It matches the Rfam family "Bacterial small subunit ribosomal RNA", at positions 29 to 523 of the family's 1533-position model. The record is from RNAcentral.